Molecule: long non-coding RNA, 243 nt
Organism: Rosa chinensis
Lineage: Eukaryota; Viridiplantae; Streptophyta; Magnoliopsida; Rosales; Rosaceae
Exons: 3
Source: RefSeq, a predicted model, not a curated record
GAGAAAGAUAUUGAGGUUGAGGUUACUGACCAUACUAUGCCUGAGUCAUUCAUACUUGAUGAGGAACAGGGAAGGUAAAUUUAACAAGGUUCUCACAACCUCUGCAAUCCACAGUUCCUAAUUGCAGGAGAGGAUUAUUUAUGUUGAUCUAAUUUAGAGACACGUAAGUUUUGGAUGCUGCUAUGGAGGAGAAGUUAUAGAUCAGUUUUGUUCUGUUGAGGACUUUUUUCAUUUAUAAAGGAA